GACGAACGCUGGCGGCGUGCUUAACACAUGCAAGUCGAACGAAGUGGCGAACGGGUGAGUAAUACGUGGGUAACCUGCCCUCCUUUUUGGGAUAAGCCUUGGAAACGGGGUCUAAUACCGAAUAAAGGGGGAUGGGCUCGCGGCCUAUCAGCUUGUUGGGGGGGUGAUGGCCUACCACGGCGGUGACGGGUAGCCGGCCGGAGAGGGUGACCGGACACAUUGGGACUGAGAUACGGCCCAGAGUCCUACGGGAGGCAGCAGGGGGGGAUAUUGCACAAUGGGCGAAAGCCUGAGGCAGGGACGCCGCGUGGGGGAUGAAGGCGUACGGGUUGUAAACCUCUGUGGCUAUCGAGCGGGUAGGUGGAGAAGAAGCGCCGGCUAACUACGUGCCAGCAGCCGCGGUAAUUC
Molecule: ribosomal RNA, 408 nt
Filed under: uncultured bacterium
Lineage: Bacteria
Description: partial 16S ribosomal RNA
Rfam family: Bacterial small subunit ribosomal RNA
Source: RNAcentral